AGCCCAACCUCCCACCCGUGUUUACUGUACCUUAUUGCUUCGGCGGGCCCGCCAUUCAUGGCCGCCGGGGGCUCUCAGCCCCGGGCCCGCGCCCGCCGGAAACACCACGAACUCUGUCUGAUCUAGUGAAGUCUGAGUUGAUUGUAUCGCAAUCAGUUAAAACUUUCAACAAUGGAUCUCUUGGUUCCGGCAUCGAUGAAGAACGCAGCGAAAUGCGAUAACUAGUGUGAAUUGCAGAAUUCCGUGAAUCAUCGAGUCUUUGAACGCACAUUGCGCCCCCUGGUAUUCCGGGGGGCAUGCCUGUCCGAGCGUCAUUGCUGCCCAUCAAGCACGGCUUGUGUGUUGGGUCGUCGUCCCCUCUCCGGGGGGGACGGGCCCCAAAGGCAGCGGCGGCACCGCGUCCGAUCCUCGAGCGUAUGGGGCUUUGUCACCCGCUCUGUAGGCCCGGCCGGCGCUUGCCGAACGCAAAUCAAUCUUUUUCCAGGUUGACCUCGGAUCAGGUAGGGAUACCCGCUGAACUUAAGCAUAUCAAUAAGCGGAGGAGGAUCAUUACCGAGUGUAGGGUUCCUAGCGAGCCCAACCUCCCACCCGUGUUUACUGUACCUUAGUUGCUUCGGCGGGCCGCCAUUCAUGGCCGCCGGGGGCUCUCA
Molecule: ribosomal RNA, 650 nt
Filed under: Aspergillus flavus
Lineage: Eukaryota; Fungi; Ascomycota; Eurotiomycetes; Eurotiales; Aspergillaceae
Description: eukaryotic LSU rRNA
Rfam family: 5.8S ribosomal RNA (bases 161-314)
Source: RNAcentral